CGAUAGCGUAUACUAAUGUUGUUGCAGUUAAAAAGCUCGUAGUUGAACUUCUGGUAGGAGUGUCCCGGCCUUUUUGUUUUUACAAAUUGUAUGCUGUGUGACAUCUCUGGCCAUCCUUCUUCUUUGUUUAAAGAAGAUCUUUCACUGUAAAAAAAUUAGGGUGUUCAAAGCAAAAGUUUCUUUGGAAUAUAUUAGUAUGGGAUGAUAAGAUAGGCUCUAGAUGCUAUUUUGUUGGUUUGCACAUUUAGAGAAUGAUUAACAGGGACAGUUGGGGGUAUUCGUAUUUACAUGUCAGAGGUGAAAUUCUUGGAUUUUGGAAAGACGAACUACUGCGAAAGCAUUUACCAAGGAUGUUUUCAUUAA
This 363-nucleotide ribosomal RNA is filed under the name uncultured eukaryote. RNAcentral's name for it is "partial 18S ribosomal RNA". It matches the Rfam family "Eukaryotic small subunit ribosomal RNA", at positions 592 to 976 of the family's 1831-position model. The record is from RNAcentral.